UAUGUAUCAAGAAAGGAUUGAGGGUUCUGGCCCGUCGAUAUCCUACCAACCUGCAUUGCAAGGUGGUUCAUCCAGCCCCUCGGGGAAAGAUACGCU
RNAcentral lists this non-coding RNA (96 nucleotides) under Candidatus Parcubacteria bacterium. RNAcentral's name for it is "Parcubacteria Magasanikbacteria SAM-I sequence". It matches the Rfam family "SAM riboswitch aptamer (S box leader)". From Rfam's summary of the family: The SAM riboswitch is found upstream of a number of genes which code for proteins involved in methionine or cysteine biosynthesis in Gram-positive bacteria. The SAM riboswitch acts at the level of transcription termination control. The predicted structure consists of a complex stem-loop region followed by a single stem loop terminator region. The record is from RNAcentral. Lineage: Bacteria; Candidatus Parcubacteria.